RNAcentral lists this ribosomal RNA (497 nucleotides) under uncultured bacterium. RNAcentral describes it as "partial 16S ribosomal RNA". It matches the Rfam family "Bacterial small subunit ribosomal RNA", at positions 28 to 507 of the family's 1533-position model. The record is from RNAcentral.
GAUGAACGCUGGCGGCGUGCCUAAUACAUGCAAGUCGAGCGAACAGACGAGGAGCUUGCUCCUCUGACGUUAGCGGCGGACGGGUGAGUAACACGUGGAUAACCUACCUAUAAGACUGGGAUAACUUCGGGAAACCGGAGCUAAUACCGGAUAAUAUAUUGAACCGCAUGGUUCAAUAGUGAAAGACGGUUUUGCUGUCACUUAUGGAUGGAUCCGCGCCGCAUUAGCUAGUUGGUAAGGUAACGGCUUACCAAGGCAACGAUGCGUAGCCGACCUGAGAGGGUGAUAGGCCACACGGGAACUGAGACACGGUCAAGAAUACUAAGGGAGGCAGCAGUAGGGAAUCUUCCGCAAUGGGCGAAAGCCUGACGGAGCAACGCCGAGUGAGUGAUGAAGGUCUUCGGAUCGUAAAACUCUGUUAUUAGGGAAGAACAAAUGUGUAAGUAACUAUGCACGUCUUGACGGUACCUAAUCAGAAAGCCACGGCUAACUACGUG